RNAcentral lists this transfer RNA (87 nucleotides) under Desulfovibrio sp. RNAcentral's name for it is "tRNA-Leu". It matches the Rfam family "tRNA". Rfam says of the family: Transfer RNA (tRNA) molecules are approximately 80 nucleotides in length. The record is from RNAcentral. Lineage: Bacteria; Pseudomonadati; Thermodesulfobacteriota; Desulfovibrionia; Desulfovibrionales; Desulfovibrionaceae.
GCCCGGGUGGUGGAACUGGUAGACACAAGGGACUUAAAAUCCCUCAUCCUAACGGAUAUGCGGGUUCAAAUCCCGCCCUGGGCACCA